RNAcentral lists this ribosomal RNA (200 nucleotides) under uncultured bacterium. RNAcentral's name for it is "partial 16S ribosomal RNA". It matches the Rfam family "Bacterial small subunit ribosomal RNA", at positions 8 to 205 of the family's 1533-position model. The record is from RNAcentral.
AGAGUUUGAUCAUGGCUCAGAGCGAACGCUGAUGGCGAGCCUAACACAUGCAAGUCGAACGGGAAAGGGAGCAAUCCUGAGUAGAGUGGCGAACGGGUGAGGAACACGUAGGUAAUCUACCCUCGAGAUUGGGAUAACCAACCGAAAGGUGGGCUAAUACCGGAUAAGGUAAUUGGACCUGGAAAGAGGUAGAAUUAAGA